This 328-nucleotide unclassified non-coding RNA is filed under the name soil metagenome. Its description in RNAcentral is "partial contains 5.8S ribosomal RNA, internal transcribed spacer 2, and large subunit ribosomal RNA". The stretch from base 1 to 120 matches the Rfam family "5.8S ribosomal RNA", at positions 35 to 154 of the family's 154-position model. The record is from RNAcentral.
GAUGAAGAACGUAGCGAAAUGCGAUAAGUAAUGUGAAUUGCAGAAUUCAGUGAAUCAUCGAAUCUUUGAACGCACAUUGCGCCCCCUGGUAUUCCGGGGGGCAUGCCUGUUCGAGCGUCAUUACAACCCUCAAGCUCUGCUUGGUGUUGGGCCCCGCCGCCCCGGCGGGCCCUAAAAUCAGUGGCGGUGCCGUCCGGCUCCGAGCGUAGUAAUUCUUCUCGCUCUGGAGGUCCGGGUGUGUGCUCGCCAGCAACCCCCAAUUUUUUCAGGUUGACCUCGGAUCAGGUAGGGAUACCCGCUGAACUUAAGCAUAUCAAUAAGCGGAGGA